Molecule: ribosomal RNA, 1356 nt
Filed under: Staphylococcus aureus M67953
Lineage: Bacteria; Bacillati; Bacillota; Bacilli; Caryophanales; Staphylococcaceae
Description: bacterial SSU rRNA
Rfam family: Bacterial small subunit ribosomal RNA
Source: RNAcentral
AGAGUUUGAUCCUGGCUCAGGAUGAACGCUGGCGGCGUGCCUAAUACAUGCAAGUCGAGCGAACGGACGAGAAGCUUGCUUCUCUGAUGUUAGCGGCGGACGGGUGAGUAACACGUGGAUAACCUACCUAUAAGACUGGGAUAACUUCGGGAAACCGGAGCUAAUACCGGAUAAUAUUUUGAACCGCAUGGUUCAAAAGUGAAAGACGGUCUUGCUGUCACUUAUAGAUGGAUCCGCGCUGCAUUAGCUAGUUGGUAAGGUAACGGCUUACCAAGGCAACGAUGCAUAGCCGACCUGAGAGGGUGAUCGGCCACACUGGAACUGAGACACGGUCCAGACUCCUACGGGAGGCAGCAGUAGGGAAUCUUCCGCAAUGGGCGAAAGCCUGACGGAGCAACGCCGCGUGAGUGAUGAAGGUCUUCGGAUCGUAAAACUCUGUUAUUAGGGAAGAACAUAUGUGUAAGUAACUGUGCACAUCUUGACGGUACCUAAUCAGAAAGCCACGGCUAACUACGUGCCAGCAGCCGCGGUAAUACGUAGGUGGCAAGCGUUAUCCGGAAUUAUUGGGCGUAAAGCGCGCGUAGGCGGUUUUUUAAGUCUGAUGUGAAAGCCCACGGCUCAACCGUGGAGGGUCAUUGGAAACUGGAAAACUUGAGUGCAGAAGAGGAAAGUGGAAUUCCAUGUGUAGCGGUGAAAUGCGCAGAGAUAUGGAGGAACACCAGUGGCGAAGGCGACUUUCUGGUCUGUAACUGACGCUGAUGUGCGAAAGCGUGGGGAUCAAACAGGAUUAGAUACCCUGGUAGUCCACGCCGUAAACGAUGAGUGCUAAGUGUUAGGGGGUUUCCGCCCCUUAGUGCUGCAGCUAACGCAUUAAGCACUCCGCCUGGGGAGUACGACCGCAAGGUUGAAACUCAAAGGAAUUGACGGGGACCCGCACAAGCGGUGGAGCAUGUGGUUUAAUUCGAAGCAACGCGAAGAACCUUACCAAAUCUUGACAUCCUUUGACAACUCUAGAGAUAGAGCUUUCCCCUUCGGGGGACAAAGUGACAGGUGGUGCAUGGUUGUCGUCAGCUCGUGUCGUGAGAUGUUGGGUUAAGUCCCGCAACGAGCGCAACCCUUAAGCUUAGUUGCCAUCAUUAAGUUGGGCACUCUAAGUUGACUGCCGGUGACAAACCGGAGGAAGGUGGGGAUGACGUCAAAUCAUCAUGCCCCUUAUGAUUUGGGCUACACACGUGCUACAAUGGACAAUACAAAGGGCAGCGAAACCGUGAGGUCAAGCAAAUCCCAUAAAGUUGUUCUCAGUUCGGAUUGUAGUCUGCAACUCGACUACAUGAAGCUGGAAUCGCUAGUAAUCGU